Bicyclus anynana (squinting bush brown) is the source of this 1616-nucleotide RNA transcript. RefSeq lists it as uncharacterized. The transcript is spliced from 2 exons. The record is from RefSeq and is a predicted model, not a curated record. NCBI's taxonomy places the organism in Eukaryota, Metazoa, Arthropoda, Insecta, Lepidoptera, Nymphalidae.
AGCUAAGUGGCACGUCCAUUCUCUUUCUACGAUCGCAAACGCUUUGAAAACUAAGAAAAUGUAUGGGAAUGACAUUUGCUAUCGACAGGUCACGUGAUCAAGAUCUGUCAUUCCCAUACAUUUUUCUAGUUUUCGAAGCGUUAGCGAUCGUAGAAAGUGAAUCGUCGUUCCAGUUGGCUACAGGGACAGGAUUUUAGAUGGCGCAGUUGGUAGUGCUGUGGUCCAGAGAGGUCCUGGGUACGAUUCCCAGUUGUCAGUUUAGGAUUUCCAAAUUAGCUCAGCAGGCCAAUUCACUAACUUUGACGUAUGUUUGUUGAAAUAUGCAAAAUUGAGAUUUUAUAUAACAAAUGCCUACUGACAACCCUUCGUGGAUAUCCUACAGUAGGUAGAUGACAUUUGUCAGCAGAUUUGAUGUUUAUAUUAAUGAGUUGUUAAUAAAGACCAAAUUAGUGAAUAGACCAGCAGGUUAGGAGGUUAUUAUGUAACUCAGUGUACCAUUCAAGUAAUCAGUCACUACAUCGUUUUUCAUCGUAUUUUCGUUUUUGCAAUCAUCUAACGUUGUGCUUUGUUUUAGUGGUAGGCAUCGACUGUGGCUAGUUACGGGUUACCACCCUAACGGCAAAGACGUACCGCCAAGCGAUUUAGUGUAUGUGUGCAUACACAUACAUAGAAACCGUCAGAGCAGUGGCGUGCACUUCAUAGAAGCACUAAGCACUCAAUAAAAACCUAUGUUGGACCACAUACUAAAUAGUUGAACAAAGAAUUUUCCAAUUUUUACAUAUAGUGCCUAGUUAGAAACAUUAUGCACGCCACUGCGUCAGAAGUAUGAGUAGAAUAAACUUCGACCUUUUCUAAGUAAGCCAACUUCUAUCUUAGCCUGCAUCGUCACUUAACAUCAGGUGAGAUCGCAGUCAACUUGCAGUUGAAUUAAAAAAAAAUAACGCUAUGCUAUAUUUUAUUCUAUAUUUGACGUGUCUCCACAAAAGCAAUUCAAUACCGGAUACGAAUGAGUUAAAAAAAUAAAUAAAGGUAAUAAAAAUUACCUAUUAAACACAACAUAAGAUACUUAUCUAGUUCUGCAUACAAAACCGUGAAAAGGUAUAUCUACGUAAAUGUAUGUUAAUAAAUUAUACUGUGGUCAAGACUGAAGAUAAUGAUCAGGGGAAGAUUUUCUUAAACAUUAAUUUACAAGUGACGCAUGACCGGAAUCCUGGCACUGACAUUAAAAUGUGGCAGACCCUCACGAUAUCGCAAAGGACACUACUUGUUAAAGCUACUCAAUACACUCCCGUGCCGUCCGUCAAUGCGCGCUGGCCAUUAUUAGUAAGACCACCAUCUAAUGAUUAUUAUUUAUUAGAUAGGUGGUAAUAAUUAAAGAUUGCCAUCAGCAAUUUGAUCGGAGGUCGAGGUUAAGAACUAACAAAUACCUAAAGACCUUCAACUGGUUUUUUAAAUUAAAAUAAUAAUAAUAAUUGAUUUACGAUUGUUAAUCGGUUAUUCAUUAUUGAAUUUAUGACAGAUUUAUAAAUUGAACCCUUUAAUUAUUCCAUCAAAAUUUAUUGUACAAUAUAGUACUAAUAAAAUAUAAUUUAGAUAAUGAAGUAAACAGGAUAAUU